AUUGAACGCUGGCGGCAUGCCUUACACAUACAAGUCGAACGGCAGCACGGGAGCAAUCCUGGUGGCGAGUGGCGAACGGGUGAGUAAAGUAUCGGAACGUGCCCGGUCGUGGGGGAUAACGUAGCGAAAGUUACGCUAAUACCGCAUACGAUCUAUGGAUGAAAGCGGGGGAUCGCAAGACCUCGCGCGAUUGGAGCGGCCGAUAUCAGAUUAGGUAGUUGGUGGGGUAAGGGCUCACCAAGCCGACGAUCUGUAGCUGGUCUGAGGGGACGACCAGCCACACUGGGACUGAGACACGGCCCAGACUCCUACGGGAGGCAGCAGUGGGGAAUUUUGGACAAUGGGCGAAAGCCUGAUCCAGCCAUGCCGCGUGCAGGAUGAAGGCCUUCGGGUUGUAAACUGCUUUUGUACGGAACGAAAAGGUUUGGCCUAAUAAGCUGAGCUCAUGACGGUACCGUAAGAAUAAGCACCGGCUAACUACGUGCCAGCCGCCGCAGUAA
This 500-nucleotide ribosomal RNA is filed under the name uncultured bacterium. Its description in RNAcentral is "partial 16S ribosomal RNA". It matches the Rfam family "Bacterial small subunit ribosomal RNA", at positions 30 to 523 of the family's 1533-position model. The record is from RNAcentral.